CAGGCCUAACACAUGCAAGUCGAGCGGUAACACAGGGAGCUUGCUCCCGGGUGACGAGCGGCGGACGGGUGAGUAAUGUCUGGGAAACUGCCUGAUGGAGGGGGAUAACUACUGGAAACGGUAGCUAAUACCGCAUAACGUCGCAAGACCAAAGAGGGGGACCUUCGGGCCUCUUGCCAUCGGAUGUGCCCAGAUGGGAUUAGCUAGUAGGUGGGGUAACGGCUCACCUAGGCGACGAUCCCUAGCUGGUCUGAGAGGAUGACCAGCCACACUGGAACUGAGACACGGUCCACACUCCUACGGGAGGCAGCAGUGGGGAAUAUUGCACAAUGGGCGCAAGCCUGAUGCAGCCAUGCCGCGUGUAUGAAGAAGGCCUUCGGGUUGUAAAGUACUUUCAGCGGGGAGGAAGGCGAUAAGGUUAAUAACCUUGUCGAUUGACGUUACCCGCAGAAGAAGCACCGGCUAACUCCGUGCCAGCAGCCGCGGUAAU
RNAcentral lists this ribosomal RNA (490 nucleotides) under uncultured bacterium. RNAcentral's name for it is "bacterial SSU rRNA". It matches the Rfam family "Bacterial small subunit ribosomal RNA", at positions 43 to 524 of the family's 1533-position model. The record is from RNAcentral.